GGGCUACACACGUGCUACAAUGGUGGUGACAGUGGGUUAAUCCCCAAAAGCCAUCUCAGUUCGGAUUGUCGUCUGCAACUCGACGGCAUGAAGUCGGAAUCGCUAGUAAUCGUGGAUCAGCAUGCCACGGUGAAUACGUUCCCGGGCCUUGUACACACCGCCCGUCACACCACGAGAGUUGGUCGCGCCCGAAGCCGUGACCCCAACCGCAAGGAGGGGAGCGUCUACGGCGAGGUCGGCGAUUGGGGUGAAGUCGUAACAAGGUAGCCGUAGGGGAACCU
Molecule: ribosomal RNA, 281 nt
Filed under: Ochromonas sp. CCMP1393
Lineage: Eukaryota; Chrysophyceae; Chromulinales; Chromulinaceae
Description: partial Bacterial small subunit ribosomal RNA
Rfam family: Bacterial small subunit ribosomal RNA
Source: RNAcentral